UGGGGAAUAUUGCACAAUGGGGAAAGCCCUGAUGCAGCGACGCCGCGUGAAGGAAGAAGUAUCUCGGUAUGUAAACUUCUAUCAGCAGGGAAGAAAAUGACGGUACCUGACUAAGAAGCCCCGGCUAACUACGUGCCAGCAGCCGCGGUAAUACGUAGGGGGCAAGCGUUAUCCGGAUUUACUGGGUGUAAAGGGAGCGUAGACGGAGCAGCAAGUCUGAUGUGAAAGGCAGGGGCUCAACCCCUGACUGCAUUGGAAACUGUCCCUCUUGAGUGCCGGAGGGGGUAAGCGGAAUUCCUAGUGUAGCGGUGAAAUGCGUAGAUAUUAGGAGGAACACCAGUGGCGAAGGCGGCUUACUGGACGGUAACUGACACUGAGGCACGAAAGCGUGGGGAGCAAACAGGAUUAGAUACCC
This 415-nucleotide ribosomal RNA is filed under the name uncultured bacterium. Its description in RNAcentral is "bacterial SSU rRNA". It matches the Rfam family "Bacterial small subunit ribosomal RNA", at positions 355 to 787 of the family's 1533-position model. The record is from RNAcentral.